CUCUGUCAUGUCUAGCUCCUCAGAUUUGAUGCCGUCGGGAAGCUCCCAAUCAAAGUGGUAAAGAAGGCUAGCAAGAGCAAGCUCCAUAUUAGCUAAACCUAGCGCUAUACCAGGACACAUCCUCCGCCCAGCUCCAAACGGGAUGAACUCAAAGUCCGCCCCUCUAAAAUCAACUGUACUAUUCUCAAAUCUCUCUGGCCUAAAUAUCUCGCCAUCGCCCCAAUAUUCGCCUUCCCUGCCUAUCUUCCACACGUUGACAAAGACCUUGGUGCCCUUUGGCACAUCAUAGCCCAUGACCUGGCACGUCUCGCGGCACUCCCUGGGGAUCAGGAGUGGCGCUGGCGGGUGUAGCCGUAGGGUCUCCUUGAUCACCAGCUGCAGGUAGCUCAGCUUGGCGACAUCAUCCUCGGUUAGCUUGUCUUGUCCCUUGAACGUCUCCCUCACCUCUGAUUGCGCCUUCCGCAAGAUCCGCGGGUUCUUCAUCAGCUCCGACAUGGUCCAGUCUAGCGUCGUCGACGACGUCUCGCUCCCGGCCGAGAAGAUGUCCUG
Molecule: small RNA, 549 nt
Filed under: Oryza sativa Japonica Group (Japanese rice)
Lineage: Eukaryota; Viridiplantae; Streptophyta; Magnoliopsida; Poales; Poaceae
Description: sRNA Os03g0593650
Source: RNAcentral